UACGUAGGUGGCAAGCGUUGUCCGGAUUUACUGGGCGUAAAGAGCGCGCAGGCGGUCGUUUAAGUCGAAUGUGAAAGCCCCCGGCUCAACUGGGGAGGGUCAUUCGAUACUGAUCGACUUGAAGGCAGGAGAGGGAAGUGGAAUUCCGGGUGUAGUGGUGAAAUGCGUAGAUAUCCGGAGGAACACCAGUGGCGAAGGCGACUUCCUGGCCUGUUCUUGACGCUGAGGCGCGAAAGCUGGGGGAGCAAACAGG
This 253-nucleotide ribosomal RNA is filed under the name uncultured bacterium. RNAcentral's name for it is "partial 16S ribosomal RNA". It matches the Rfam family "Bacterial small subunit ribosomal RNA", at positions 524 to 776 of the family's 1533-position model. The record is from RNAcentral.